This 218-nucleotide unclassified non-coding RNA is filed under the name Hevea brasiliensis (rubber tree). The record is from RNAcentral. Lineage: Eukaryota; Viridiplantae; Streptophyta; Magnoliopsida; Malpighiales; Euphorbiaceae.
CUGUUCUCGGCUGCGACCGUCUACAUGGAUUACCUGCGCGACUCGGCGAUCGUCGAGGUGCAGAAGAGCAACGUCCGUGUGCUCGAGCAGACCCUCAAACAGACGCGCGAUCGCUUCAAUGUCGGCGAAGUGACGCGCACUGACGUUGCACAGUCCGAAGCUCAGCUUGCCGCAGGCCGGACGCAGCUUCUGACAGCCGAAUCCAAUCUGACGACGAC